RNAcentral lists this ribosomal RNA (253 nucleotides) under uncultured bacterium. RNAcentral describes it as "partial 16S ribosomal RNA". It matches the Rfam family "Bacterial small subunit ribosomal RNA", at positions 524 to 776 of the family's 1533-position model. The record is from RNAcentral.
UACGGGGGGGGCAAGCGUUGUUCGGAAUUACUGGGCGUAAAGGGCUCGUAGGUGGCCAACUAAGUCGGACGUGAAAUCCCUCGGCUUAACCGGGGAACUGCGUCCGAUACUGGUUGGCUUGAGUUUGGGAGAGGGAUGCGGAAUUCCAGGUGUAGCGGUGAAAUGCGUAGAUGUCUGGAGGAACACCGGUGGCGAAGGCGGCAUCCUGGACCGAGAUUGACGCUGAUGAGCGAAAGCUAGGGGAGCAAACGGG